Molecule: unclassified non-coding RNA, 300 nt
Filed under: uncultured fungus
Lineage: Eukaryota; Fungi
Description: sequence contains ITS2
Source: RNAcentral
AACGCACAUUGCGCUUCCUGGUAUUCCGGGGAGCAUGCCCGUUUCAGAAUCAUUAAAACUCUCAUCAAGCAAUUGAUGGAUGUUGGGUGUUUUCUACUGCAAAGUACAAUCACCUUAAAUUGAUUUUGUGUGCUCCAACGCCUUGUUGGUCGCUUAUUCAAAGUGCAACAGAUGCAAAUCUCUACACAUUGAAUGUGGCUAUCAAGUUUUGGUACAUGCAACCCAACUAUUAAACAAAGGGUGUCACAGCCUUUUGUCAACCUUGGUCUGAAAUCGGGCAAGAAAACCCGCUGAACUUAA